RNAcentral lists this ribosomal RNA (421 nucleotides) under uncultured bacterium. RNAcentral describes it as "bacterial SSU rRNA". It matches the Rfam family "Bacterial small subunit ribosomal RNA", at positions 499 to 912 of the family's 1533-position model. The record is from RNAcentral.
AACUCCGUGCCAGCAGCCGCGGUAAUACGGAGGGUGCAAACGUUGCUCGGAAUUAUUGGGCGUAAAGCGCACGUAGGCGGUCCGCUAAGUCGGAUGUGAAAGCCCUCGGCUUAACCGAGGAAGUGCAUCCGAAACUGACGGGCUAGAGUACGGAAGAGGGUUUCGGAAUUCCCGGUGUAGAGGUGAAAUUCGUAGAUAUCGGGAGGAACACCAGUGGCGAAGGCGGAAAACCUGGGCCGAUACUGACGCUGAGGUGCGAAAGCGUGGGGAGCAAAACAGGAUUAGAUACCCUGGUAGUCCACGCCGUAAACGAUGAGCGCUAGGUGUUGGGGGUAUUGGACCCCCCCCAGUACCGCCAGCUAACGCGUUAAGCGCUCCGCCUGGGGAGUACGGCCGCAAGGCUAAAACUACAAAGGAAAUU